GAGUAUAGAAAAAAAUAGAAGAAAAAUAGGAGAAAACAUAGGUAAAAACCCCAGCCAUUGUUUAAGCUUCGUUAUCUGCUUCUUUUUCUUUCAUUGCAUUAUAUUUUUCAGAGAUUUGUGGGAAUGGAGAGCACUUGAGAGAGAUUAGAGGGGUUUUUGUUUUUUCUCAAAUAUAUGGGAUUCCGUGCAUGGGAAAGGAAAGUGC
Molecule: long non-coding RNA, 205 nt
Filed under: Elaeis guineensis (African oil palm)
Lineage: Eukaryota; Viridiplantae; Streptophyta; Magnoliopsida; Arecales; Arecaceae
Description: long non-coding RNA (EGUI_LNC021471)
Source: RNAcentral